CUGGUGUGAGGUCAAUGAUUUUGUUCUUCAUUCCUAACCAUGUCAUUGGUGGGCUAAGCAUGGGCACAUUUACACAUUUCUAUGAAAAUUCACUUUAAGAUGGGCACUCACAUCUUAAGAAUCCCGCAUUUUUUAUGUCAGUGACAUUUUAUAAGCAUUAUGCUGCCCAAGUGUUUGUGAUCUUUAAAAUGUAGCCUAUGAUAAAAUAUAGUUUAAUGAAAGAAUCAGGUGCCUUUUAGGUAUUAUUUUGUAAUUAAAUAGAUGGUCAUGUUUAUCUUCUCUGACAAAAUUAUUAUGUACUUUGUAUGACUCUAAUUCUUUAUCCUGAAGUUAUUUUUCCAGUGGAGUUUGAGGCUAGAUGGAGUAUGAAGAUAAUGGGGCAUUUUACCAUAACCAGGGAGACGUGAUACAAAUUUGAGAGACACUGACGUGGACCAUAUAUUUUAUGCCUUCAACCACUGUUCAGCCAAUACCCUCUAAAUCCUUUGUUCUAUUUUUCUGCUUCAUUUGCUGAGGAAAAUGGCAAGCUGGGACCAAGCCUGAGGAACUAACAACCUGUACACUUAACGAUGCCUUUCCCUGGAUCUAGUGUAAUAAUUUCAACCAUCCACAGGUCAUUAUGGAGUCAUUUUUCUCUUCAAAUUCAAUGUGUUCAAAUCAGAACUCAUCAUCUUCUGUACUUCCUAUUCUAGUCACCAAGUACAGAAAUCUGACGGUCAUACCAUGUGUAUGCUGCUCUUUAUUUCUGUUUCCCAAUUAUUUUCCAAAAGAAAAGUUUUAUAUUCUUAAAUCUAGAAUAUCAUCUUUCUUGUCCAAUAGGCAACUGUUUCACAUUAGUUCAUGUCCUUAUCAUUUUAUGAAUGAAUUCAUAUGAAAUGAUAUUGAAAUUGGUUUUUCUUUCCUGCAGCUGUUUUGCUCUCAAUUCAUUUCUAGGAGGUAAACCUGGUCAUGUUACCACCCUACUUAAAUUCUCCCAUCUGAAAUUCAAAUCUGCACCAAUGGAAAUAAUGCCUGUGAAUGUGCGCAGACUUUCUCUCAGCGACUCUCCUCCGUGUUUCCCACAUGCCCAUGCCUUUGCCUGCCUGCUCACUCUUCUCAGAAAACCUUCCUCUCUCUCUCCCCAUCCUUGUUUUAGGAUUUAAGUCCCAUUCACACCUUUGCUCAGACACCACCUUCUCUUGGAAUCUUUUCCUAAUAGCACUUUUAUCACCAAGCUUCUCUGCUCUGAGGCACCAUGGGUAUAGCUCUACCCCUGCAUAGUAACUUUGCUCAUUUCUUUAUAUUUCCAAUCAGAUUGCAAAUUCUUUAAGACAUGGUUAUCUUUUAGGUCUCCAUACACACCUACUGCUUAACCCAGUAUUUAGAGCAUCAUGAACAGGCAUCUGAUGUUUAUCACUUGUAAUUAUUUAGUAUAAUAAAUAUAAAAAAUAUGAGCAUUAUGUUAUGCUAGACCCUCUGAGUCUUAAAGAGGUGAGUACCAUGAUACUCCCUGUCUUCAAGAGGGUUGAUCUAAGGAAGGUUGGGAAAUGAGUCCAUAUAAUUGUAACACCAUGGAGAACAAAUGAGCUCUCCCAAAACUUCACGGGGUCAGGUAGGUUAAAUGUGUGGGGCACCUCCAUCUUGAGGAUACGAGAAUCAUUUCGUGGAGAAGCGGCAGGCGAGCUAGGCCUCCAAGGGGAAGAGGGGCCUCACUAAACAGUGUUGAGGGUGGGAGACACGUCCAUGCAAGGCGAGUGGGCAGGAAGAACAGGAUAUGCUUGGUUCAGAGUAGCCUUUCCAGUGUCAAAUGAGAUUUCAGAUUUAGGAAGACAGGUUUAAAAGGUAUCAGAGAGCAUUUUGAUUGGUAGACUUGUCUGUUCAGGUGGGCUGUUGUUCAUCAUCAGAGAGUAUUGUUGACUCUGGAAGUUUUUAAUCAGUUGGUGUUUCUACUUCCAUGAAGACCUCAUCACUGAGCAGUAAUGGAGAGCUGUGAUGGGCCAGGUUGGUAAAGAAGAAGGAUAUUGGGAGAUAGAGCAAUAGGUUGUGUAUGAGGUGAAUUCAAGUCAGAAAGGUAAGUGGUCUUGUUGGGGGGCAGAAGUACACAGGCAGUCAAGCCAAUGCCAGGUCAUUGGGAACUGAGGUUGAAGAAAACCCCAGUACCUUGAAGAAACUGACCAGCUUAUCAAGGCAAAGCCCCUGGCAUGGUCAAUAACAUAGGUUCCAAGAUACUAGACUUGAGUUAUAAGGAAAAGGUUAAGGUGACAGACGUAGUAGUGGGCUGCAAAUGAAAAAUCGGAAAAAUAGGAGGAGAAGGGAGCUAAUAUUCAGAUACUUGUCUGAGUGUCUUGAAGCUCUUCCUGUUCAACAAAGAAUUCAAAUAGAAAAUCUAGUAAACUUCAUAGAUAAUUCCACCUGUAAAGGAGCCCAGGCUGUUACUACAUGUAAUAUGGAUAAACAUGUGUUUUCUUUCAUUCUCAAUUAACUAAAAAAAAGUUGUUUUGAUAAUCAAAACCAAAGUACUAUAAGAUUGUUGUAAGAAGUAAUAAUAUAUCACAUACCCAAUAAGUGUGCUCUUUAAAAGAAGUGAUUUUAGGAUUAUAGGUUUGACACGUCAUUGAAUUCACCUCGUAAUAACCAAUGUUUGUGCUCUGUUCUUCCAUCCAUCCACUGCUCAGGAUAAACCUAACACUUGAAAAUAGAGCCCUUUACUUUUUUUUACUCAUGGUAUGAAAAUGUUUAUUGCAAUUAAAUUCACCAAUGCAUCAAGACAUAGUGAGCAGGCAUGACUUUAGGAGCAUGCAAGUUAUAUUUCACUACAGAAAUGUUAUCCGCUGUAUUGAAUUCCAUCUAUUUUAACUUCUUUUUUCUUUUUAGGGCCACACUCAAAGCAUAUGUAGGUUCCCAGGCUAGGGGUCAAAUCAGAGCUACAGCUGCCAGCCACAGCCACAGCCACAGCAAUGCAGGAUCUGAGCUGCAUCUGCAACCUACACCACAGCUCACAGCAAUGCCAGAUCCUUAAUCCACUGAAUGAGGCCAGGGAUCGAACCCGAAACUUCAUGGUCCCUAGUUGGAUUCAUUUCCACUGCGCCAUGACGGGAACUCCUCAAUAUAUUUUAAAACAUCCUUUAGAAAGUGUGUGCAUGUUCAUGACCCUUCCUGGUCACCUCACCCCUAGUGGUCGCUCCAUACAGUGAACCCAUGUAGGAAACAUCACCUAUCCCUACUGGUUUACAUUAUAGUAUUUUUAUAAUUAUAUGUUGCUUUUAAACAGAUUACAUAUUUUUAUUGAGGAUAGUCGAAAACUUGUAUGUCUUUUCAUCUUUUUUUAACAGCUCUGUUAAUUUACCUAAAAUAAAAUUCACCAGUUUUAACUGUACAAUUUAAUAGUCCUUUUUUUUUUCUUUUUUUUUUCUUUUUUUUGUAUUUUUUGCCAUUUCUUGGGCUGCUCCUGCGGCAUAUGGAGGUUCCCAGGCUAGGGGUCUAAUCGGAGCUGUAGGUGCCAACCUAUGCCAGAGCCACAGCAACGCAGGAUCCGAGCCACGUCUGUGACCUACACCACAGUUCACGGCAAUGCCGGAUCCUUCACCCACUGAGCAAGGGCAGGGAUCGAACCCGCAACCUCAUGGUUCCUAGUUGGAUUCACUAACCACUGCACCAUGACGGGAACUCGUAAUAGUCCUUUUUUGUAUAAUGAUUUUUAUUUUUUUCCAUUAUAGCUGGUUUACAGUGUUUUGUCAAUUUUCUACUGUACAGCAUGGGGAUCCAGUUACACAUACUGUGAUAUAUAUACACAAUGGAAAACUACAUAGCCGUAAAAAAGAAUGAAUAAUGCCAUUUGCAGCAACAUAGAUGGAAGUAGAGACUCUCAUACUGAGUGAAGUAAGUCAGAAAGAGGAAGGCAGUUACCAUAUGAUAUCACUUAUAUCUGGAAUCUAAUAUAUGGCACAAUUUAACAGGUUUUAAUAAGUCUUCAUAGUUAUAUAAACCUACCUCCCCAAUGAUGAUAAUGUAAAACAUUUUCAGUAAACCCCUUCCACUAUCCUGGCCUGUAGCAACACUGAGAAGUUUCUGCCAUUAUAGUUUGCCUCUUUCUAGAAUUUUUUAUACACAGAAUCAUCGAUUAUAUGGCACAUUGGCUUUCAGUUCCCAUAAUGCAUUUGCAAUUCAUUCAGAUUCUUUCAUACCUCAGUAUUACCAUCCAG
Molecule: long non-coding RNA, 4181 nt
Filed under: Sus scrofa (pig)
Lineage: Eukaryota; Metazoa; Chordata; Mammalia; Artiodactyla; Suidae
Description: lncRNA (ENSSSCG00000062116.1)
Source: RNAcentral